Molecule: long non-coding RNA, 216 nt
Filed under: Homo sapiens (human)
Lineage: Eukaryota; Metazoa; Chordata; Mammalia; Primates; Hominidae
Description: HSALNT0132357
Source: RNAcentral
UCGCAGACACCUGGGACGAGAGUGACUGCAGGUUCCUCAACUCCCUGUGAAAAAAGCAUGCGGACUGUGGAGCUGCCACUUCCCAUGAUCUCAGAGAGUUCAUGUGCAUCCAGGUAGAUCAUUACAUUCUACAAAUGCAGAAGACGGAAAUUUGACUUCGGAGUAAUGGAAACACUGUCUUAGGUCUACCAGGGAUUCUUAAGGCUUGUUCCCAAU